Molecule: long non-coding RNA, 3149 nt
Organism: Passer domesticus (house sparrow)
Lineage: Eukaryota; Metazoa; Chordata; Aves; Passeriformes; Passeridae
Exons: 2
Source: RefSeq, a predicted model, not a curated record
AACGCCCCUGGCACUGAAACGCCUUGUGCUUGUGGCUCCUCGCUGCUCUUGGGUGCACUGCUCCUCCUCCUCCUCUUCCUCCCAAGAGACUCCUAAACUGAGGCUUCAUGGAAAUAAUGAAGUUACUGCAUUGAUGGGGGUUGUUUCAGGGUGAAAUUCUGGGGAACUUAAGGCCACAGUGUAAACUUCUUGUAUUGAAGUAAUCAAAGACUAAAUUAGAGUAUUUCAUCUGAGCUGUUUUGAAAGAAGUGUUUUAUCAGAGAUCAUACUGUCCCUGUACUGAGCUCAUACCAGAGCUCAGGAGGUGGCUUUGAAGCUUGAGCUUCCACUGCUCUGCCAGUAGAGAAACACAGGAGAUCUUGGAGAAAUAAAUUCCAGAGAUGUUGUCUCAGGAGUUGGACUGCAACUUGUAACUGAAUUAAAUAUCCGAAAAGGGAAUUUUAAUGUGGAAAUCCAGUCCUGUCCCAGGGAACUGUGGCUGUCCUAUUCUCAUUGGCUGCUACCAUGUCCUUUCUGUUUUGAUGAACAGAACUAUCAUAUUUAAAAUUGCAGCAAGAACUUUUAAGACUUGUUCAACUGGCUUGGUUUAGCUUCAACAGCUGACAUCUGAGAAUUGUGUACAUUAGGAUUCUUCAGAAAAAACCCUGAAACAAAACAUGUCAUGCUUUUCAUCUUUUCAUUUUACAGGAUGAUGAGAGGGAGGGAUAGGGCAUGUGCCUUGCAUGUGUAAAGUGCUUUGCUUUCCAAAGGAGAGCUGGUUGGUAGUUAGAGGUAGUCUGACUCUUCUGAGUGGUGCAGAACCAAUCCUUUCACUCAGUCCAUCUGAAAAUUGAGUUUCCCACAGAUCUCUGAAGCUCCUGAAUGGACUGCAGAGAGUCAGCUGAUGUCUGUGAGCUUCUUGUGUAGUAGCAGGUAUCCUUUGGAGCCUGCUGUUCCCUUGCAGUAGUUCUGAGUUCUGGAGCAUCUUCAGUAGGAAACAGGGUGUCACACUGGAAAUUUAGCUGAUGAGUUGCUGUGGGGCAGGCAGGGAAGUGACUCAGCUCCCUGACCUACAGACCAGAGCUAAACCUAGGUACAAGAGGAAGUGCUAGGUGAUGAGAUAAAGGUGUUUCUGGAAUAAGGGGUGAUUCUUUUUUUGUUCUUCUUUGUUUCUGUUGUUGUCUUUCUUUUUUGUUUUCCUUUCCACGGUCCUCCUCAACAGUUUAAAAUAGUUUAAAGACAAACAGCUCUGGGCACGUUCUUCAGAGGUGCUGUAACCACUGCAUUUAAAUACACUGCUUCAAGAUGUGGUAGGAAACAGCUACCUCAGUGCUGUAUUGUCUUCCUGAGUGAAGUGCAAACCUCGAAAUGACAGCCCUCCUCUUUGCCCUUUCACAUUGCAGAAUGGUUAACAACGACUUAAUUCACUCUCUUAACCAAAUAUUUUUCUUAUGUAGCAUCUAGUGAGUUUGAUUAUUGGGAGUUUGCUCUGGGUUUUUUUUCAGCUGAGUUGUGCUUGCGUGGGGGAGCAAGCUUGUGACUUCAAAAAGUGAAGUGAAACAGGACAACUUAGACCUUUUUGUUCUUUGUGGUGUUUCUUCCUCCUUGGUAGUAUUUUGGUUCAGCAGCAGUUGUUAGAAUGUGUAAGUCUGAAUUCCACCUCUCAAUGAAUCUUAAGACAGUAGCUACCCCUGUAGUGUGGGUCGAGUUUAAUAUUGCAUAAACUUGUCAGUACAGUUGCAGAUUGGAAUCAAAUAUUAAUAUAUUAUCUCUUGCUUUUAGUGUUUGCCUGCCAUUGCAUCCCUCAGACUUUUCUGUGUGGCUGCCUUGGUGCUGGGAGGGAAUUGUCCUUCAGUGCAGCUUCUGCUCUGCUCCUGAAUCUCAAAUAAGAGAUUUUCAGGGAAAACCAAUAUGAGCAGAGCAUAUUUUCAACCCCCUUCCCAAAAGCUGGGCAUAGUUGUAGGAUACUUUAAGGCAAGGGAGUUAUUACUAGUUAACAUUUGUAGUAUGACUGGAAUAGAGUUUGCACAGUCUCAGUGGGUGAAAGGAAUAUUUUUCACAUAGACUUUACAGAUCCCUGGUUUCAUCUUGUGCAUCAUGCUGCAAAGAUAACAACUGUGCCACACGCUUCUGCAACCCACACUUCUGGUCCUUGAAGUGGAAUUUUUCUCCUUUACACAUAAACCAGAAACUGCUCCGUUGGGGAGGAAGCUCUGUUUAACUUAGAUCUGUUCAUGUUGACCAUACAUGGCUGAGAUGGUUAUUUUGGGGCAGUUUCUAUCUGCUUCUCAUAUGACUGAGAAAGUUCAAACUUUGCCUUGAGGAGAAGGGAAAACUUUGAGAACGUUUUUUUUUUAGUAUUUGAGGAGAAGAUGGCAUGAGCCAAAAUAAAUUUUUAAGCUUGAGCACUUGCUCACAUCUUGGUCCUGAAUUUGAGAAGUGCCCCAUUUAAAAAGUAAAGUAAUAAAAAACCCAACAGAACCAAAACUAAACAGCCCCCUCCCUACAAACAGCCCCACAAAACCCAACCCAAAAUUACUCAGCUUGUUUAAAAUUUAAACUUGCAAGUUUGAUUUUAGGACAGGUGAGCACAGAACACCUUGAGCUGAAAGAGUACAAGACAGAGACAGCUUGAGGUGAGAAGCAAUCUGUGUGUGUCAGAAUUUCAUUUGCUUGCUGGGAAGUGGGACAUCCUGGACAUACUCCAGCCUCCUUAAACUUCAUUUUGAUGGUGGAAAUUCUCUGCAUAUGCUGUGGGAGAUGCUGAAGGACCCUGAAGGGUUCAGUGCUCUGUGUGGUGUGGAAGCACACUGUGUAAAACGUGAGAACUUCCUGCUGUGAUAAGGAGCCAACAGUUCUUCCAACAGGUGCAGUCUUUAGCUGCAGUCCUGAAGAUGUAACAGAAAUGUUUGCUGUCAUGGGCCUCUGGUAUUGUCAAUCUCAAACUGAGUCUGGCCUGAACAGUUCAGAAGGGAGAGCUUUGCUUUUUGCCUUGCACUGCUAUGAUAAGAGAAUUAGGAGGGGAAGCUGUGUUCAAGAAUCUCUAAUCCAUGAUGGUGGCUGUGACUGAAACGAAUAAUCUUAUUUUAAAGGGUGCUCUAUACCACUAAAGCUUUAUAAAUAUUAAUUUUGUUCAUUUGUUUCCUAAUAAAAGGCUUUUAUUCAUUAAA